AAACUACGAAUCCACAAAGGAAACGACUUAGGCCCUUAAAAUCUCCAAGAACCCGAACUGCUCUUCCCAAGAAUCACACAGAUUCUUACAAACCAACACUCAAUAGUACACCUCUAAAAGAUCUAUGAUAGUACAAGAGUUUUCACUAGUUUACAUGUUGAAAACACUCAAAGAAAUUGAGCCCUAAUCACAGAAACGAAGGU
This 203-nucleotide long non-coding RNA is filed under the name Olea europaea (common olive). Its description in RNAcentral is "long non-coding RNA (OEUR_LNC000552)". The record is from RNAcentral. Lineage: Eukaryota; Viridiplantae; Streptophyta; Magnoliopsida; Lamiales; Oleaceae.